RNAcentral lists this ribosomal RNA (1504 nucleotides) under Helicobacter pylori. Its description in RNAcentral is "bacterial SSU rRNA". It matches the Rfam family "Bacterial small subunit ribosomal RNA". The record is from RNAcentral. Lineage: Bacteria; Pseudomonadati; Campylobacterota; Epsilonproteobacteria; Campylobacterales; Helicobacteraceae.
UUUAUGGAGAGUUUGAUCCUGGCUCAGAGUGAACGCUGGCGGCGUGCCUAAUACAUGCAAGUCGAACGAUGAAGCUUCUAGCUUGCUAGAAUGCUGAUUAGUGGCGCACGGGUGAGUAACGCAUAGGUUAUGUGCCUCUUAGUUUGGGAUAGCCAUUGGAAACGAUGAUUAAUACCAGAUACUCCCUACGGGGGAAAGAUUUAUCGCUAAGAGAUCAGCCUAUGUCCUAUCAGCUUGUUGGUAAGGUAAUGGCUUACCAAGGCUAUGACGGGUAUCCGGCCUGAGAGGGUGAACGGACACACUGGAACUGAGACACGGUCCAGACUCCUACGGGAGGCAGCAGUAGGGAAUAUUGCUCAAUGGGGGAAACCCUGAAGCAGCAACGCCGCGUGGAGGAUGAAGGUUUUAGGAUUGUAAACUCCUUUUGUUAGAGAAGAUAAUGACGGUAUCUAACGAAUAAGCACCGGCUAACUCCGUGCCAGCAGCCGCGGUAAUACGGAGGGUGCAAGCGUUACUCGGAAUCACUGGGCGUAAAGAGCGCGUAGGCGGGAUAGUCAGUCAGGUGUGAAAUCCUAUGGCUUAACCAUAGAGCUGCAUUUGAAACUACUAUUCUAGAGUGUGGGAGAGGUAGGUGGAAUUCUUGGUGUAGGGGUAAAAUCCGUAGAGAUCAAGAGGAAUACUCAUUGCGAAGGCGACCUGCUGGAACAUUACUGACGCUGAUUGCGCGAAAGCGUGGGGAGCAAACAGGAUUAGAUACCCUGGUAGUCCACGCCCUAAACGAUGGAUGCUAGUUGUUGGAGGGCUUAGUCUCUCCAGUAAUGCAGCUAACGCAUUAAGCAUCCCGCCUGGGGAGUACGGUCGCAAGAUUAAAACUCAAAGGAAUAGACGGGGACCCGCACAAGCGGUGGAGCAUGUGGUUUAAUUCGAAGAUACACGAAGAACCUUACCUAGGCUUGACAUUGAGAGAAUCCGCUAGAAAUAGUGGAGUGUCUGGCUUGCUAGACCUUGAAAACAGGUGCUGCACGGCUGUCGUCAGCUCGUGUCGUGAGAUGUUGGGUUAAGUCCCGCAACGAGCGCAACCCCCUUUCUUAGUUGCUAACAGGUUAUGCUGAGAACUCUAAGGAUACUGCCUCCGUAAGGAGGAGGAAGGUGGGGACGACGUCAAGUCAUCAUGGCCCUUACGCCUAGGGCUACACACGUGCUACAAUGGGGUGCACAAAGAGAAGCAAUACUGCGAAGUGGAGCCAAUCUUCAAAACGCCUCUCAGUUCGGAUUGUAGGCUGCAACUCGCCUGCAUGAAGCUGGAAUCGCUAGUAAUCGCAAAUCAGCCAUGUUGCGGUGAAUACGUUCCCGGGUCUUGUACUCACCGCCCGUCACACCAUGGGAGUUGUGUUUGCCUUAAGUCAGGAUGCUAAAUUGGCUACUGCCCACGGCACACACAGCGACUGGGGUGAAGUCGUAACAAGGUAACCGUAGGUGAACCUGCGGUUGGAUCACCUCCUUU